Molecule: ribosomal RNA, 1155 nt
Filed under: Triticum aestivum (bread wheat)
Lineage: Eukaryota; Viridiplantae; Streptophyta; Magnoliopsida; Poales; Poaceae
Description: partial small subunit ribosomal RNA
Source: RNAcentral
AUGGCUGACGAGCCCCAGCCCGAGCCACAGCUGGUGAUGCCUCUGGUACUUGAAGCAACCAGACCGUUGUGCGCACCUCUGCAGCAAGGUCUCGAUGACGUUCCUGUUCUGCGAUUCAACGUAGCAGCGGUGGAUCUAUUGGAUGCUUAUGAGGAAGCUUUUAAAUCUAUGACCCGACGAGCCAGAGACAUAGCACCCGCCCUCUACUGCAACAAGCCUAUAACUCCCCUUCCUAACCCACACAAUCGGCCAAGACAAACUUCUUCUGCUGCUUCUUCUUCCACCUCAAGAAAGAAAGAUAAAGCAAAGAAAACAAAGCAAUCGGAGGAGGAGCUUGAUGAUUAUGAAGAUGUGAAGAAAUGGGGUCACAGCCAUUUCAUAAUAGAAAUGUAUUACGAUGAUAAGGCCACGGGUUACAAGUACGAUGGAAUGAUGGUUCAACUUCUCAUAUGUGACUACAAUGGCUACCUGGUUGGUUUAAGAAGCUUUGCAUAUGAUCGAUGGUCCAAGUGGUACUAUUGUAGUGAUGACUUUUCCCUUCCAUUCUUUCUCAAAGAUGGCGCAAGCAAGCUCCCAAUAGAAGGUGAUCAUGAGAAAAGGGCUCUUCUUGGAGGGCGCCCCACUUUCGUCCACAUCUUUGAGAAACUUGGCUAUUACCCGGGUACUGGAGACACCGAGGAAAUGGGAAAAGCAUUCCUAGAAGCUGUGUUGGUAUUUUGUGAGGCAAGGCGGGUCGUAUGGAUAUUCAUGGAAGUGAAGGAGAGAAUUAAAAGGAAGGAAGAACCAAGGGACUUAGACUGCACCAUCCCUGGUAGAGAAAUCCACAUGCACUAUGCGUGGGGUGAUGUUUCGGAUUGGGGUCUUGACUCCAAACUAGUGUUAACUUCUGCCCAGAAAGGAGUGUACACGCCACCUAGGGACGACGAUGGUAAGGCAGAAACUCUAGUAGUAAUUGACAAGAGGAGCACGUUUGAGAGACUUAUCGCACACGGAAGGGAAAGUGGACAUCUGGGGCUGAUAAUGCGUGAUGACGGUGUAUUGGCUCCAGAGGGCAGCCGGGUGCUCAUGCUGUUGAGGAAGAAGAAGGAUCAGUUGGGAGCUAAAUGCCGUGAACCGUAUUUCCGUAAAGUGAAGGAGAAUGAAGACGAUGAGUGA